The sequence is an unclassified non-coding RNA, 341 nucleotides long. Its record names the gene 7SK. It matches the Rfam family "7SK RNA". Rfam says of the family: 7SK was discovered as an abundant small nuclear RNA in the mid-70s but a possible function has only recently been suggested. The record is from Ensembl.
AGAAGUCAGGUGAUCCAAGUUGUGCCAAUCGGAUUUGGGGCCAGGGUUGAUUCAGCUGAUCUGGCCAGUUAGGUGAGUGUCCCCUUCCUCCCUCAUCGCUCCAUGUGCAUCCCUCCAGAAGCUGCAUGCUUGGUCGAAGAGGAUGACCAUCCCCAACAGAGGAGAACCAUUCUUUGGUCAAGGGGAUACAAGUAGCUGCACUCCCCCGCUAGAACCUCCAAACAGGCUCUCGGUUGGAGGGUUUUCCUCCUUUCCCAGUGGGUUUCCCUGACCACAACAAGGGAGUGAGGACUAGUGGGUGAAUUAAGCUGAUCACAUGAGAUGCAUAGCUGAGUGAUUUU